GCGGGAUGCUUUACACAUGCAAGUCGAACGGCAGCGCGAGUUAAGCUUGCUUAACUUGGCGGCGAGUGGCGAACGGGUGAGUAAUGUAUCGGAACGUGCCCAGUAGCGGGGGAUAACUACGCGAAAGCGUGGCUAAUACCGCAUACGCCCUACGGGGGAAAGGGGGGGAUCGCAAGACCUCUCACUAUUGGAGCGGCCGAUAUCGGAUUAGCUGGUUGGUGGGGUAAAGGCCUACCAAGGCGACGAUCCGUAGCUGGUUUGAGAGGACGACCAGCCACACUGGGACUGAGACACGGCCCAGACUCCUACGGGAGGCAGCAGUGGGGAAUUUUGGACAAUGGGGGCAACCCUGAUCCAGCCAUCCCGCGUGUGCGAUGAAGGCCUUCGGGUUGUAAAGCACUUUUGGCAGGGAAGAAACAGCCUGGGAUAAUACCCUGGGCGACUGACGGUACCUGCAGAAUAAGCACCGGCUAACUACGUGCCAGCAGCCGCGGUAAUACGUAGGGUGCAAGCGUUAAUCGGAAUUACUGGGCGUAAAGCGUGCGCAGGCGGUUCGGAAAGAAAGGUGUGAAAUCCCAGGGCUUAACCUUGGAACUGCACUUUUAACUACCGAGCUAGAGUACGUCAGAGGGGGGUAGAAUUCCACGUGU
This 650-nucleotide ribosomal RNA is filed under the name Castellaniella sp. RB2-9. Its description in RNAcentral is "bacterial SSU rRNA". It matches the Rfam family "Bacterial small subunit ribosomal RNA", at positions 39 to 676 of the family's 1533-position model. The record is from RNAcentral. Lineage: Bacteria; Pseudomonadati; Pseudomonadota; Betaproteobacteria; Burkholderiales; Alcaligenaceae.